This 316-nucleotide long non-coding RNA is filed under the name Lathyrus oleraceus (garden pea). RNAcentral's name for it is "Pisum sativum (pea) long non-coding RNA (PSAT_LNC024256)". The record is from RNAcentral. Lineage: Eukaryota; Viridiplantae; Streptophyta; Magnoliopsida; Fabales; Fabaceae.
UCGCCAUUGAAUUUUAUUUAUUCUAAGAGAAAGGUAAAAUAUCAAUAAAAUCCAAAGGGAAAAGAAAAAGGGUAAGGAAGUUGGUUAUGCAAGGGGAAGAUAUUAGCACUCCUCAUAUCCGUUGUACUCAACGAGAACCACUGAUCAGUGCAUUUUGAUACAUAUUCUUCUAGUAUUCUACUUAGACAACUCUAUAGUUUAUUCUAUUAUUUUUACUAUUUUAGUGUGUUUUUAUAUUUAAGUUUAUUUUUGGUUUUAUUUUAUUUUCGUACUUUAUUUUCAGCAUAAAUAGUUAUUUGAUACCUUGUUACUAUGC